AGAAAUUUUGAGGUUAUGCCGUGCGUCUUUGACUUUAUUUCUUAUUCCAUCGGCAAAAACAUCUACGAAAAUAUUGCGAGUAAAAUAAUUUUUUGUUUAAAGGUUUUCAACCCUGCCGUUACCAUGGUGAUUUAUCAAUAGUCGCCGACAUCUUUAAAAAAUAAUCGCUUGUCGCAUCAAGAGUUCAUCAAGAGAAAGUUUUAUAAUAAUUAACGCGAUUAUAUUAAACAAUUUUCGCAUUAAAUGGAGUUAAAAUAUCCUUUUUUUAAAGCGGAAAUAAGGAUGAUGCAACUCUUUUUGAUGAUACCAUCAUAGUUUGGCCUUAUUUUGAGACGAAUGAGUCGAUUUAAAGCUCAAAUGUGACUUUAUUGUAAAGUGGUAUCAAGAGGCAAAUUUCAAUGCUUAUAAUGAAGGAGAAGAUCAUAAAGUUUAUUUCUGAAUUCAAAACAACUCAAAAAUGUUAAAUUUGACAUUUAAUGUCGAUUAAAGAUGAAUAAUUCGACCAUAACUUUUUAAAAAUGAUUAAUAUUUUUAAGUUACUUUGUUAUAUUUUGAAAGAAUUGUUAUAAUUAAUAAAGAAAA
Non-coding RNA from Onthophagus taurus, 582 nucleotides. NCBI's taxonomy places the organism in Eukaryota, Metazoa, Arthropoda, Insecta, Coleoptera, Scarabaeidae. The record is from RefSeq and is a predicted model, not a curated record.